Portunus trituberculatus (swimming crab) is the source of this 633-nucleotide long non-coding RNA. RefSeq lists it as uncharacterized. The record is from RefSeq and is a predicted model, not a curated record. NCBI's taxonomy places the organism in Eukaryota, Metazoa, Arthropoda, Malacostraca, Decapoda, Portunidae. The transcript has 2 exons.
CUCAAAACCAGUGUGUUGCGGAUCUCCAAUCACUAAAGAUCUUGUGCAUCAUUUUGGUGUCAAGGCAUCCCAGAUUUACUCAUUUUCCCUUUCUCCAAAACCUUAUUAUUUUUCUUUUUCUUUUUUUCUUUUCUUCUUUUUUUUCCUAACCAGGUCUGACUUGCGUAACAAGCCAGUAUAUAAAACUCCUCCCAAAGAGAGAGUUGCUUAGAGACACAUGAACACUCAGUACGAUAAAAUGAAUCUCAUUUCCCUAGUGUUGGUGAUAGCGAUGUGUGUAGCGGCAGUUCUGGCCAGUCCUGUCCCCGGAUAUCCAGUCUAUAACAACUAUAACCAUGGUUACGGUUAUCCCCACUACGCGGCUGUUUCUACUUACACCCCUACCACGAUCCACAUCAUCCGCCAACACUUUUCCCUUCCUUACGGAUCGUACAAUAGCUACUGGUAGUGAUGCUCUCCACAGUGUGUGACGACAUCGCGAUACGCCCGAACGACCUAAAGACUUUUCCCUCUUAACAUUUCCUAAUCAGGUUCUCACUACACCUUCCUACUCUUUAUUAAGCUACCUGUGAUCUAUUUAUCCUAUAUUCCAAUAUUUCUUUCAUUUGAAAUUAAAUCCAUAGAAAGAACUAC